This 27-nucleotide unclassified non-coding RNA is filed under the name Mus musculus (house mouse). Its description in RNAcentral is "oocyte_clustered_small_RNA5361". The record is from RNAcentral. Lineage: Eukaryota; Metazoa; Chordata; Mammalia; Rodentia; Muridae.
UUCCCUGACUUACCUGGGCAACAAAGG